RNAcentral lists this long non-coding RNA (228 nucleotides) under Elaeis guineensis (African oil palm). RNAcentral describes it as "long non-coding RNA (EGUI_LNC054388)". The record is from RNAcentral. Lineage: Eukaryota; Viridiplantae; Streptophyta; Magnoliopsida; Arecales; Arecaceae.
CCUACUCGGGGUAUCAUCCUGCAAUAAUAGGAAUCUCACGUUGUGAUGUCACCUCUCAUUCUCUCGAGUCUCUUAUCUCGUGUCUGAUCCACCUCCACCUGGAGCUCUACCUCACUCUAGGCUCCCCAUUAGAAAAUAAUAUCCUCUUCUCCCUUUCUUUCCCUCCAAAACAAUCGUAUCAUCAUGUAGCACCUUCAAGAUUCCUCUAUCAGCUACUAUCCUGUAACC